CUCCGCCCCAGGCUCAACGGCUGCGGAAGUUCUUUCCUGGUCUCCUUCGCACAGUUCCACAGGAUUGUUCCAUGCGGAUAGUCUCCUGCUUUGGCUUUCGGCCUUGACGCCCGUUCCUGGAGACCUGGACUAUGGCCUAGCUGUGCGCUGAGCCAAGACCCAGCGAAUGACUGCAGAACGAGUAUGGCGUCCCCUAGUGGCGCAAGUUGGGAAGACCUACAUAAUAACAGACUGGAACCGUUAUAUAAACAGCCUUGUCUUUACGAGCAACUUUAACUGGAUGUAUAAAAUUCACCUAAAGUAAAAGCACUAAAGUAUUUUCCUCCUA
Molecule: non-coding RNA, 328 nt
Organism: Rattus norvegicus (Norway rat)
Lineage: Eukaryota; Metazoa; Chordata; Mammalia; Rodentia; Muridae
Source: RefSeq, a predicted model, not a curated record